UAGUCCACACAGUAAACGAUGAAUACUCGCUGUUUGCGAUAUACAGUAAGCGGCCAAGCGAAAGCAUUAAGUAUUCCACCUGGGGAGUACGCCGGCAACGGUGAAACUCAAAGGAAUUGACGGGGGCCCGCACAAGCGGAGGAACAUGUGGUUUAAUUCGAUGAUACGCGAGGAACCUUACCCGGGCUUAAAUUGCAUUUGAAUAAUCUGGAAACAGGUUAGCCGCAAGGCAAAUGUGA
This 239-nucleotide ribosomal RNA is filed under the name uncultured bacterium. Its description in RNAcentral is "partial 16S ribosomal RNA". It matches the Rfam family "Bacterial small subunit ribosomal RNA", at positions 791 to 1035 of the family's 1533-position model. The record is from RNAcentral.